GUACACAAAAAUGCACAUAUUGUGAGCUCGAUGAGUAGGGCGGGACACGUGGUAUCCUGUCUGAAUAUGGGGGGACCAUCCUCCAAGGCUAAAUACUCCUGACUGACCGAUAGUGAACCAGUACCGUGAGGGAAAGGCGAAAAGAACCCCGGCGAGGGGAGUGAAAAAGAACCUGAAACCGUGUACGUACAAGCAGUGGGAGCCUCUUAAUGGGGUGACUGCGUACCUUUUGUAUAAUGGGUCAGCGACUUAUAUUCUGUAGCAAGGUUAACCGAAUAGGGGAGCCGAAGGGAAACCGAGUCUUAACUGGGCGUUAAGUUGCAGGGUAUAGACCCGAAACCCGGUGAUCUAGCCAUGGGCAGGUUGAAGGUUGGGUAACACUAACUGGAGGACCGAACCGACUAAUGUUGAAAAAUUAGCGGAUGACUUGUGGCUGGGGGUGAAAGGCCAAUCAAACCGGGAGAUAGCUGGUUCUCCCCGAAAGCUAUUUAGGUAGCGCCUCGUGAAUUCAUCUCCGGGGGUAGAGCACUGUUUCGGCAAGGGGGUCAUCCCGACUUACCAACCCGAUGCAAACUGCGAAUACCGGAGAAUGUUAUCACGGGAGACACACGGCGGGUGCUAACGUCCGUCGUGAAGAGGGAAACAACCCAGACCGCCAGCUAAGGUCCCAAAGUCAUGGUUAAGUGGGAAACGAUGUGGGAAGGCCCAGACAGCCAGGAUGUUGGCUUAGAAGCAGCCAUCAUUUAAAGAAAGCGUAAUAGCUCACUGGUCGAGUCGGCCUGCGCGGAAGAUGUAACGGGGCUAAACCAUGCACCGAAGCUGCGGCAGCGACACUAUGUGUUGUUGGGUAGGGGAGCGUUCUGUAAGCCUGUGAAGGUGGCCUGUGAGGGUUGCUGGAGGUAUCAGAAGUGCGAAUGCUGACAUAAGUAACGAUAAAGCGGGUGAAAAGCCCGCUCGCCGGAAGACCAAGGGUUCCUGUCCAACGUUAAUCGGGGCAGGGUGAGUCGACCCCUAAGGCGAGGCCGAAAGGCGUAGUCGAUGGGAAACAGGUUAAUAUUCCUGUACUUGGUGUUACUGCGAAGGGGGGACGGAGAAGGCUAUGUUGGCCGGGCGACGGUUGUCCCGGUUUAAGCGUGUAGGCUGGUUUUCCAGGCAAAUCCGGAAAACCAAGGCUGAGGCGUGAUGACGAGGCACUACGGUGCUGAAGCGACAAAUGCCCUGCUUCCAGGAAAAGCCUCUAAGCAUCAGGUAACAUCAAAUCGUACCCCAAACCGACACAGGUGGUCAGGUAGAGAAUACCAAGGCGCUUGAGAGAACUCGGGUGAAGGAACUAGGCAAAAUGGUGCCGUAACUUCGGGAGAAGGCACGCUGAUAUGUAGGUGAAGCGACUUGCUCGUGGAGCUGAAAUCAGUCGAAGAUACCAGCUGGCUGCAACUGUUUAUUAAAAACACAGCACUGUGCAAACACGAAAGUGGACGUAUACGGUGUGACGCCUGCCCGGUGCCGGAAGGUUAAUUGAUGGGGUUAGCGGUAACGCGAAGCUCUUGAUCGAAGCCCCGGUAAACGGCGGCCGUAACUAUAACGGUCCUAAGGUAGCGAAAUUCCUUGUCGGGUAAGUUCCGACCUGCACGAAUGGCGUAAUGAUGGCCAGGCUGUCUCCACCCGAGACUCAGUGAAAUUGAACUCGCUGUGAAGAUGCAGUGUACCCGCGGCAAGACGGAAAGACCCCGUGAACCUUUACUAUAGCUUGACACUGAACAUUGAGCCUUGAUGUGUAGGAUAGGUGGGAGGCUUUGAAGUGUGGACGCCAGUCUGCAUGGAGCCGACCUUGAAAUACCACCCUUUAAUGUUUGAUGUUCUAACGUGGGCCCCUAAUCGGGGUUGCGGACAGUGUCUGGUGGGUAGUUUGACUGGGGCGGUCUCCUCCUAAAGAGUAACGGAGGAGCACGAAGGUUGGCUAAUCCUGGUCGGACAUCAGGAGGUUAGUGCAAUGGCAUAAGCCAGCUUGACUGCGAGCGUGACGGCGCGAGCAGGUGCGAAAGCAGGUCAUAGUGAUCCGGUGGUUCUGAAUGGAAGGGCCAUCGCUCAACGGAUAAAAGGUACUCCGGGGAUAACAGGCUGAUACCGCCCAAGAGUUCAUAUCGACGGCGGUGUUUGGCACCUCGAUGUCGGCUCAUCACAUCCUGGGGCUGAAGUAGGUCCCAAGGGUAUGGCUGUUCGCCAUUUAAAGUGGUACGCGAGCUGGGUUUAGAACGUCGUGAGACAGUUCGGUCCCUAUCUGCCGUGGGCGCUGGAGAACUGAGGGGGGCUGCUCCUAGUACGAGAGGACCGGAGUGGACGCAUCACUGGUGUUCGGGUUGUCAUGCCAAUGGCACUGCCCGGUAGCUAAAUGCGGAAGAGAUAAGUGCUGAAAGCAUCUAAGCACGAAACUUGCCCCGAGAUGAGUUCUCCCUGAGACUUAGAGUCUCCUGAAGGAACGUUGAAGACGACGACGUUGAUAGGCCGGGUGUGUAAGCGCAGCGAUGCGUUGAGCUAACCGGUACUAAUGAACCGUGAGGCUUAACCUUACAACGCCGAAG
This 2579-nucleotide ribosomal RNA is filed under the name Escherichia coli. Its description in RNAcentral is "partial 23S ribosomal RNA". It matches the Rfam family "Bacterial large subunit ribosomal RNA", at positions 375 to 2925 of the family's 2925-position model. Lineage: Bacteria; Pseudomonadati; Pseudomonadota; Gammaproteobacteria; Enterobacterales; Enterobacteriaceae. The record is from RNAcentral.